Molecule: ribosomal RNA, 796 nt
Filed under: uncultured bacterium
Lineage: Bacteria
Description: bacterial SSU rRNA
Rfam family: Bacterial small subunit ribosomal RNA
Source: RNAcentral
UAGAGUUUGAUCAUGGCUCAGGAUGAACGCUAGCGGCAGGCUUAACACAUGCAAGUCGAGGGGCAUCGGGAGGGAAGCUUGCUUUCCUUGCCGGCGACCGGCGCACGGGUGAGUAACACGUAUGCAACCUGCCCUCUUCAGGGGGACAACCUUCCGAAAGGGAGGCUAAUCCCGCGUAUAUCGGUUUCGGGCAUCCGAGAUCGAGGAAAGAUUCAUCGGAAGAGGAUGGGCAUGCGGCGCAUUAGCUUGACGGCGGGGUAACGGCCCACCGUGGCGACGAUGCGUAGGGGUUCUGAGAGGAAGGUCCCCCACACUGGUACUGAGACACGGACCAGACUCCUACGGGAGGCAGCAGUGAGGAAUAUUGGUCAAUGGGAGAGAUCCUGAACCAGCCAAGCCGCGUGAGGGAAGACGGCCCUAUGGGUUGUAAACCUCUUUUGUCGGAGAACAAAACCCGGGACGUGUCCCGGACUGCGUGUAUCCGAAGAAAAAGCAUCGGCUAACUCCGUGCCAGCAGCCGCGGUAAUACGGAGGAUGCGAGCGUUAUCCGGAUUUAUUGGGUUUAAAGGGUGCGUAGGCGGUCCGUUAAGUCAGCGGUAAAAUUGCGGGGCUCAACCCCGUCGAGCCGUUGAAACUGGCAGACUUGAGUUGGCGAGAAGUACGCGGAAUGCGCGGUGUAGCGGUGAAAUGCAUAGAUAUCGCGCAGAACUCCGAUUGCGAAGGCAGCGUACCGGCGCCACACUGACGCUGAGGCACGAAAGCGUGGGGAUCGAACAGGAUUAGAUACCCUGGUAGU